RNAcentral lists this long non-coding RNA (233 nucleotides) under Trifolium pratense (red clover). RNAcentral describes it as "long non-coding RNA (TPRA_LNC009413)". The record is from RNAcentral. Lineage: Eukaryota; Viridiplantae; Streptophyta; Magnoliopsida; Fabales; Fabaceae.
AAAGAUCCAAUUGCAUAUGAUUUUUUUCUACGCUUCCUUUCUUUCUAACCUCUGAGUCAUACUUUGCAACUUCUAUCUAGUUUACUAGUUUCAAUGUUGAGAAUUAUUUAAUUUUUACACUUUGCACAAGGUUGUUGCAGGUCUUUCCCCAAUUAAAAAGCCAAAUAGGUAAAAUGAUUGUGAUUAAGAAUUAAUUAAGGAUUAUUAACUAGUAAAUAGACAACAGAAAAAUC